GAGUUUGAUCCUGGCUCAGAACGAACGCUGGCGGCGUGCUUAACACAUGCAAGUCGAACGGGAUCCAGAGCUUGCUCUGGUGAGAGUGGCGCACGGGUGAGUAACGCGUGGAUAACCUGCCCUGGUAUCUGGAAUAACAUCUCGAAAGGGGUGCUAAUACCGGAUAAGCCUACGGAGCCUUCGGUCUCUGCAGGAAAAGGUGGCCUCUAUUUAUAAGCUACCGUAUCAGGAUGGGUCCGCGUACCAUUAGCUAGUUGGUGGGGUAAUGGCCUACCAAGGCGACGAUGGUUAGCUGGUCUGAGUGGAUGAUCAGCCACACUGGAACUGAGACACGGUCCAGACUCCUACGGGAGGCAGCAGUGGGGUAAUUUUGCGCAAGUGGGGGAAACCCUGACGCAGCAACGCCGCGUGAGUGAUGAAGGCUUUCGGGCGUAAAGCUCUGUCAGAGGGGAAGAAAUGGGGCGUGCUAAUACCACGUCUUCUUGACCGGUACCCUACAAAGGAACACCGGCUAACUCCGUG
RNAcentral lists this ribosomal RNA (522 nucleotides) under uncultured Geobacter sp. RNAcentral describes it as "bacterial SSU rRNA". It matches the Rfam family "Bacterial small subunit ribosomal RNA", at positions 9 to 507 of the family's 1533-position model. The record is from RNAcentral. Lineage: Bacteria; Pseudomonadati; Thermodesulfobacteriota; Desulfuromonadia; Geobacterales; Geobacteraceae.